Molecule: long non-coding RNA, 640 nt
Organism: Photinus pyralis (common eastern firefly)
Lineage: Eukaryota; Metazoa; Arthropoda; Insecta; Coleoptera; Lampyridae
Exons: 2
Source: RefSeq, a predicted model, not a curated record
GAGGUGAUCGGCUCAUUCUCAACAAGCUCUGUUGUCUAUACUCGCGGUCUUCACUCGUAUAUUGGCAUAUUUUUGGGUUAAGUACCAAUCGGGACUUAAUAAAAAUAGUGAUUUAUCCGAAUCAUCAUGAACGGUGGCAAGCAAUUGGAUCCUACCGGCUUGUACUAAACAAUUUGUGCUUUUAAAGUUCUGCUUUGUCGUUUAAUCGAAGAAGUCACCACCGAUAAAAUGAAGUUCAAUGGAGGAAAGGGUUUGGACCCCACAGGGCUGUACUGAUGUGGCAUCGCGACGGAGGCGACGGCGGGCGUCAGGAGACGUCCAGCUGCCGGCGCAAGAGACUCCGAUGACGCUAAUUUAAUAUACACGACACACUGCCACCCUAGUUACCAUCUACAAACAAUUCACUCAUCAGGAGUGCCCCAAGACUGAUCAUUGUUGAUUUUUAUUAUUAAACUAAUUAAUACAUCUUUGUUAUAUUAAAUUAUAUUUUUAGUUUAAGUUCCUUACAAAAACAACGAUAUGUUGAGUUUUAUUUCUGAAAUUAUUGUGUAUAUAUAUUAUCUAUAUUAUUUAAGAUUCUGAAUGUAAACGUAAUUUAUGAAUAUUUUAUAUUUUUUUAAUUAAAAACAUAUCGCAAGUA